This 497-nucleotide ribosomal RNA is filed under the name uncultured bacterium. RNAcentral describes it as "partial 16S ribosomal RNA". It matches the Rfam family "Bacterial small subunit ribosomal RNA", at positions 28 to 507 of the family's 1533-position model. The record is from RNAcentral.
GAUGAACGCUGGCGGCGUGCCUAAUACAUGCAAGUCGAGCGAACAGACGAGGAGCUUGCUCCUCUGACGUUAGCGGCGGACGGGUGAGUAACACGUGGAUAACCUACCUAUAAGACUGGGAUAACUUCGGGAAACCGGAGCUAAUACCGGAUAAUAUAUUGAACCGCAUGGUUCAAUAGUGAAAGACGGUUUUGCUGUCACUUAUAGAUGGAUCCGCGCCGCAUUAGCUAGUUGGUAAGGUAACGGCUUACCAAGGCAACGAUGCGUAGCCGACCUGAGAGGGUGAUCGGCCACACUGGAACUGAGACACGGUCCAGACUCCUACGGGAGGCAGCAGUAGGGAAUCUUCCGCAAUGGGCGAAAGCUUGACGGAGCAACGCCGCGUGAGUGAUGAAGGGCUUCGGAUCGUAAAACUCUGUUAUUAGGGAAGAACAAAUGUGUAAGUAACUAUGCACGUCUUGACGGUACCUAAUCAGAAAGCCACGGCUAACUACGUG